GGACUACCGGGGUAUCUAAUCCUGUUUGCUCCCCAUGCUUUCGCACCUCAGUGUCAGUCUGGACCCAGGCAGCCGCCUUCGCCACUGGUGUUCUUUCCGAUCUCUACGCAUUUCACCGCUACACCGGAAAUUCCACUGCCCUCUGUCCGACUCUAGCUUCUCAGUUUCCAACGCUGUUCCCAGGUUAAGCCCGGGGCUUUCACAUCAGACUUAAGAAGCCACCUACAUGCGCUUUACGCCCAAUAAUUCCGAUUAACGCUUGCACCCUCUGUAUUACCGCGGCUGCUGGCAC
Molecule: ribosomal RNA, 292 nt
Filed under: uncultured bacterium
Lineage: Bacteria
Also listed under: 1 other name
Description: partial 16S ribosomal RNA
Source: RNAcentral